AACGCUAGCUACAGGCUUAACACAUGCAAGUCGAGGGGCAGCAUGCAGGAAGCUUGCUUCCUGUGAUGGCGACCGGCGGAUGGGUGAGUAACGCGUAUCCAACCUGCCCCGUGCUCGGGGACAGCCCUUAGAAAUGAGGAUUGACCCCCGAUGGCGUGGAAUUCCCGCAUGGGAUUUCCACUAAAGUUUACGGCACGGGAUGGGGAUGCGUUCCAUUAGAUUGUAGGCGGGGCAACGGCCCACCUAGUCUACGAUGGAUAGGGGUUCUGAGAGGAAGGUCCCCCACAUUGGAACUGAGACACGGUCCAAACUCCUACGGGAGGCAGCAGUGAGGAAUAUUGGUCAAUGGGCGCGAGCCUGAACCAGCCAAGUAGCGUGGAGGAUGAAUGCCCUACGGGUUGUAAACUCCUUUUGGCGGAGGGUAACGUGCGCCACGUGUGGUGCAGUGCAGGUAUCCGCCGAAUAAGGGCCGGCUAAUUCCGUGCCAGCAGCCGCGGUAAUACGGAAGGCCCGAGCGUUAUCCGGAUUUAUUGGGUUUAAAGGGAGCGUAGGCGGGAGCUCAAGUCAGCUGUGAAACUGCGCCGCUCAACGGCGCCGAGCAGUUGAAACUGGGUUUCUUGAGUCCGCAAGAGGUGCGUGGAAUUCGGAGUGUAGCGGUGAAAUGCAUAGAUAUCACCCCUAAAAACGAUUG
This 691-nucleotide ribosomal RNA is filed under the name uncultured Bacteroidales bacterium. RNAcentral's name for it is "bacterial SSU rRNA". It matches the Rfam family "Bacterial small subunit ribosomal RNA", at positions 32 to 712 of the family's 1533-position model. The record is from RNAcentral. Lineage: Bacteria; Pseudomonadati; Bacteroidota; Bacteroidia; Bacteroidales.